ACCAGUAAAGUAUAAUAGGCAGACAGACAAGCAGUGCUAAGGUUGCUUGUCGAAAGGGAAACAGCCCAGCCUGGCCGCUAAGGUCCCAAAGCAUUCUGUGAGUGGGAAAAGAUGUGAUACAACGAUGACAACUAGGAGGUUGGCUUGGAAGCAGCCAUUCUAUCAUGAAAGCGUAAUAGCUCACUAGUCGAGUUGUCUUGCGCUGAAAAUGUAUCGGGGCUGAACAGAAUCACCGAAGCGCCAGUUUUUAGGUAGCGAAGCGUUUUGUGCGCCAAUGAACACAUAUCGUAAGAUGUGUGGAAGGUCUCAAAAGUGACUAUGCUGACAUGAGUAACGAAAAAUCAUGUAAAGCCAUGAUCGCCGUAAGUUCAAGGGUUUCUGCUAACUGGGAAUCAGUGCAGAGUUAAGUUCGGUCCCUAAGAGUUUGUAUACACUUAUACGCUUGAUGGAGGACGUUUAUGCAAGACGGCUAUUUAAUACACAAAUACUGCAAAAUGGAUACGGUGUAUGUGUGUUAUAGUCCAGGAAAAAAGCAUUAAUGCAAGACCGUACCCGAAACCGACACAGGUGAACGAGUCGAGUAGACUCAGGCGUUGAGUGAACCAUAUUGAAGGAACUCGGCAAAAUAAUCCCGUACCUUAGGAAGAAGGGAUACCGAAAGGUGACACAAAAAUGGGGGUGACGACUUUUUACUAAAAAAUUAGGACUCUGCAAAAUGGUAACAUGCUGUAUAGGGUCUGACGUCUGCCCGGUGCUAGAAGUCUAAAAGGCGCAUUGCAAGAUGCAAAUGGAAAGCCUAGUAAACGGCGGUUGUAACUAUAACAAUCAUAAAGUAGCGAAAUUCAUUGCCAGCUAAUUCCUGGCCUGCAUGAAAGACGUAACGAUUGCCCCGCUGUCUCCAGUGUGGACUCAGUGAAAUUGAAUUCUCCGUGCAGAUGCGGAGUAUGUGCCCCAAGACGAGAAGACCCUAUGAAGCUUUACUGUACAUUUGCAUUGACAACACCAUCUGCAUGCGUAGGAUAGGUGGGAGUACAUACACACUUGAAAUACCACCCUUGCAAUGUUUUUUGUCUUCCUUGACCCAUCAAGAACCAUGCAUGUGAGGCAGUUUGACUGGGGCGGUCGCCUCCUAAAGAGUAACGGAGGCGUACGAAGGUAAACUCAAUGUAGAUCGGAAACCUACUGAAGAGCGUAAUGGUAUAUGUUUGCCUGACUGUAAGAUGUACACAUCAAACAGAGACGAAAGUCGGUCAUAAUGAUCCACAAGUGCCGCGUGGAAGGGCUUGUGCUUAACGAAUCAAAGAUACGCCAGGGAUAACAGGCUGAUAAUUCCCAAGAGUCCUUAUCGACGGAAUUGUUUGGCACCUCGAUGUUGACUGAUCAUAUCCUGGGGCUGAAGAAGGUCCCAAGGGUUCGGCUGUUCGCCGAUAAAAAUGGUACCUGAGUUGAGUUUAGAACGUCGUGGGACAGUUUGGAUUCUACCUGGGGUGCGCGCUUAAGAAUUGAGAAAACUACUUCUUUGUACGAGAGGACCGGAAGUAUUUA
RNAcentral lists this ribosomal RNA (1545 nucleotides) under marine metagenome. RNAcentral's name for it is "bacterial LSU rRNA". It matches the Rfam family "Bacterial large subunit ribosomal RNA", at positions 962 to 2704 of the family's 2925-position model. The record is from RNAcentral.